This 403-nucleotide ribosomal RNA is filed under the name Verrucomicrobiota bacterium. RNAcentral describes it as "Verrucomicrobia bacterium partial 16S ribosomal RNA". It matches the Rfam family "Bacterial small subunit ribosomal RNA", at positions 355 to 776 of the family's 1533-position model. The record is from RNAcentral. Lineage: Bacteria; Pseudomonadati; Verrucomicrobiota.
UGGGGAAUAUUGCACAAUGGGCGCAAGCCUGAUGCAGCAACGCCGCGUGAACGAUGAAGGCCUUCGGAUCGUAAAGUUCUGUUGCAGGGGAAGAUAAUGACGGUACUCUGUGAGGAAGCCCCGGCCAACUACGUGCCAGCAGCCGCGGUAAUACGUAGGGGGCUAGCGUUAUCCGGAUUUACUGGGCGUAAAGGGUGCGUAGGUGGUCUUUCAAGUCGGUGGUUAAAGGCUACGGCUCAACCGUAGUUAGCCUCCGAAACUGGAAGACUUGAGUGCAGGAGAGGAAAGUGGAAUUCCCAGUGUAGCGGUGAAAUGCAUAGAUAUUGGGAGGAACACCAGUAGCGAAGGCGGCUUUCUGGACUGCAACUGACACUGAGGCACGAAAGCGUGGGUAGCAAACAGG